This 1151-nucleotide unclassified non-coding RNA is filed under the name Zea mays. RNAcentral's name for it is "misc RNA Zm00001eb119460". The record is from RNAcentral. Lineage: Eukaryota; Viridiplantae; Streptophyta; Magnoliopsida; Poales; Poaceae.
CGCCGCAGGCAACCACCACCGGCUGCGGCGCCGGCGCCGGGGCCGGGGCCGACGACGAAGGAGCCUGGGACGGCGGCGCCGGGGACGGGUCGGGCUCCGCGUCCGUCUCCUCGCCCUCGCUCGCCGCGCCGCCGAGCCGCAGCCGCUCGCCGUACCGCCGGGACACCUUCACGUACAGCGGCUUGAUCUUGCUGCUCAGGUACCGCAGCACCACUUCCUUGGCGAACCGCCGCUCCUCCGCCGUGACCGACGCCGACGCCGACGCCUCCUCUUCCUCCUGCUGCUGGGCCUCCACCGCCGCCGCCGCCGCCGGAGCCCGCCGGUCCACGCCGGCGUCCGAAGUGCGCGAGCUGUUGUCGCGCGUGAAGAGCGACGCAAGCGGCGCGUCCUCCACGCGGAACUUCACCAGGAACCGGCUCGCCACGGCCGGCUGCCUCGGCGGCGCCUGCGCGGACCCGGCCCCGGCCCCAUCCGCCGGCGGGGCCUUGGGCUUCCUCAGCUUGAGCAGCAGGACGCGGAACCUGGUGGCCGGGCGGAGCAGCGGCGCCGGCGGCGGGGCUUCGGCGUCGGCCUCGGACUCGGCUUCCGCCUCCGCGGCCGGCGCGUCCACGGCCACGGCCACCGUGUCGGCGGCACCGGGCGCCACGGCGAAGUUGAACUCCACCCGCUCCUCCUCGGCGUCGGACGCGGCGCUCUCGUCGCCGGGCACCGCGAACUCCAGGUCGAAGAAGGAGGCGGCGUCGUCGUCGCCGUCGCCGUCGCCGUUCUCGCACGCCGACGCGGCGAUGGUCGUGGAGGCCGCGGGCGCGCGCUGGGCGCCGGCGGCCACGCCGCCGUGCAGGUACUUGAGGAGGCUGAAGGAGUCCAUGACGCACGCGGGGGCACGGAGCUUUGCUGGGAGCUAGCUCCUCUCACUUGUUCUCGCCAGCAGUCAAAUCUUGCUCCCUCGCUUCGCUCGCUCGGUUCCAAGGCCAACUACUCCCAGCGGUGGAAAAAAGACUCUUUUUUGAGAGAGCCUUUUGAGGAGGACUGGAGGAGCGGGAGCAGAGGACAGAGGAGUGAGGACCGGCUGCGGAUGGAGUAGACGAGGACAAGGUCCCAAGGUGGCGUUGCAGUUGCAGCCCAAUUUUUUGUAUUUUAGCCCUUAAACA